RNAcentral lists this long non-coding RNA (278 nucleotides) under Homo sapiens (human). RNAcentral describes it as "HSALNT0323987". The record is from RNAcentral. Lineage: Eukaryota; Metazoa; Chordata; Mammalia; Primates; Hominidae.
UGGGACCACACGUGCACACCACCAUGCCCAGACUUAUAAAUUACAUAUCCACCAUGACCCACAUUUCUAAGCCUGUAUGAACAAGUUUCAUCAUUCAUGUGAGCAGAAGGCUUAGCUCACAUUGGGAGCUAAUGCUGACCAGAGUUCCCCACUCCACCGCACCCUCCGCAAGGCAGAACUGAACAUGUUUACCAUUUCGUGUGCGGCUCACAUAUUCCUGUUCGACAGCGUGGACUGGAAGCUGGCCUAGGGUCUUUUAGCACCAAUUCCUUGCCCAG